This 1119-nucleotide unclassified non-coding RNA is filed under the name Hevea brasiliensis (rubber tree). Lineage: Eukaryota; Viridiplantae; Streptophyta; Magnoliopsida; Malpighiales; Euphorbiaceae. The record is from RNAcentral.
AAAUUUUCUAAAUAUUAUUUAUAUAUUCAUUAUAUAGUUAUAAAAUGUAAAAAUAUUUUAUGAAAUUAAAAGAAAAAGGCAAUUUUAUUAAAAUUAAGUGGGGUUGAAAUGGCAUAAAAAAAAUAGUAAAUUUAAUAGAAUUAUCUUUAAAAUUAUGAGAUCUCAAAUUUAAAAUCUAAUUAAAAUUAAUUAUGAUAAAAAACUUACUUAAUGCUUGAUAAAACUACUUUUAUGUGAGAGACGAUAUUCAACGGCACACUGACGGGAUAGUUGCAAAAACUUCCACUAAUAUUUAUAUGAGAAAUUAUAUAAUAAGGCAAUAAUUUCGUAUAGAAUAUCCUACAUAAAAUGAUAAACCAAUAAGAAUCUUACAUAUAUGUAUAGUGGAUCCUAUAAAAUUCAAUUUUUCCUACGUGUUAAAAAUAAUUUUUUCUUUUACAAAAUAUAACUACAUUUUUUUUCAAUAAAGUGUCAUUUUCUAACACCUUGGAGCCUUGCAAAUAACUGAAAACUAAAAGAAUAUAUGUCGAAAAUUGAUACAUAUUAUAUUUAUAGCUUUCAUUUAGGUUUAUUUUUAUCCUUUUUGGUAUUUUAGUUAAUUUUUAUUAAUAUUUCUUAGAGUAAUUAAUUUAAAAUUUAUUUUUUUAUUUAAUUUGUUUUUAUUGUUUUGAUGCAAGGAUUUAUUAAAAGAGUAUUAUGGUUAUCAAAAUUUUGAGAAAAAGAGAAUUGAAGGUUAAAAUGAUUUUCUCAAGUAGUACAUCUCAUGUCCUAGCUAUGAAAAUUGAAGAAAUCCUUCAACCAAACCAUGAGAAGAGGACUCAUGUGAGGAAAAAUAAAAGCAAUAGAUUUCACGGCCUGUCUGAGAGAUUUAAGCUAGGCGCAUAGGCAGUCUUAAAGAUAAAGGGAAGGCACAUUUCACCCGAUUAACUCUUGAUACCUAGGGAAAGGUCUAAGAAGAGUAAAAAAUUGAGAUGAGAAGGGGAUUUUUCAUCUAGAAGCAGGAAGAACCUUUGUUUUUGGCAUUUCAAGCAUGCAAUUUCUCACCAUUGUGCUAAAAAUGAGGGAUUUGAAGAAGUGAGAUUUGGGAGCUUGAAGGAGGAAGACAUCAUCUAUCCCUCG